Molecule: long non-coding RNA, 388 nt
Organism: Cimex lectularius (bed bug)
Lineage: Eukaryota; Metazoa; Arthropoda; Insecta; Hemiptera; Cimicidae
Exons: 2
Source: RefSeq, a predicted model, not a curated record
GUCGUGAGGUAGAACUCCACGCAAUCCGGGAUGCUCACCUUCCUGCUAUGUGCUGAAAGUUGAUCAGAAGUUAGAAGAAAAACGUUCAUAUAACGAGUCGAGAUGGAUAAGCCGUAGUUGGCUUAAAUGCACUAGCGUCAUCAGAGAUUAUCAGCGAAUGGGAUUGUUGGAUGAGGAAGGUAGGCGAUCUCACAGUUUUAGAUUCUGUAGAGAAAUGGGGCAAAAAUGGAAUACAUCUUAAGGAUAAAACGAUAAAUUUUUAUCAAAAGAGAAAAAAGCGCCAGAAAAGCAUAACAUAUAUAGGCAACUAAGACUGCACGUGAACUAUAUGAAUUUUGGUGUAAAUACUGAGGAUUUGGAUGUAAUAAUUAAAACCAUAGGAGAAUUA